AAACGGUCAAUAGGUUGGGGAAAAGUA
This 27-nucleotide small RNA is filed under the name Bombyx mori (domestic silkworm). RNAcentral describes it as "ovarian small RNA-10006". Lineage: Eukaryota; Metazoa; Arthropoda; Insecta; Lepidoptera; Bombycidae. The record is from RNAcentral.